UGGGUACCGACUGCUCCAGAAGGAGGAAAGUGUGAGACAGCACCAGCUCUGUGCCCUCUGUAUGACUGUCUAAGAAGGGUUUCAAAAGAGCUGCUGGAGAUCAAGCAUUCUCUCUCCUUGUGGCAGCAGCUACAUGAGGACUGUGAGAAAACAGGUUUACAUACACACAAGAAGAAGACAUGCUUCCAACAAAUCUCUAUGAACUGGGACACAAGGCCUGAGGAGUGUCAUGCUGGUAGAAACUGUGAGGUAGAGAGCACUGGAGGGUGAAUUCUUAUCUUUAUAGAAAAAGACUACAGAUCCUGCAGAGAGAAUGUGAAGUUUCAAAUUUUAUCCGCUCAAAGACAAGCCAAUUAUACAGCAUCAUCUGAAUGUUUUACCUUCCUCAUCUGGUAUGCCCCACUAUGUGACUACAGAGUUCAGCUGGCUUGUAGCAUCAGUGUGACAGUAGUGCAACUGUCCAGUCUUCACAGCAGUGUUCAGGACUGACCAGCUGGUAGCUGAUUUCCUGCUACAAGAUCUUGUCUGAAAGCUGCACUCUGGGAGAGUGUGAAGGCUGAAGGUGGAAAACAAACUUAAAGAUGCUUUGUCCCAUUCGCACACAUUUAAAGUGACUCUGGAACUGGAGAGCAUCUAGGAGUGGCCACAGUAUUAUAAUUCAGCAACAACAGGCCUUGGACAAUCUCAAGGGUCAUCAGGUGAAUUCCUUUCUUCAAAUAACCCCAAAGAGAGGGUGAGGCAACUUAUUGAGCAAAUGAGCUCUGAAAUUACACAUAUGGGAAAAAAUAUGGCAGCAGUCAGCAUGUGUGGGUUACCCUGUCACAGAAGAGAAGAACUACUUCUCCCAGAGGACUAUUUGCUGUUCUGUUUCUGUUUUCCACUCAGAGGAAAAGAAAAAAGCUGUUCACAGAUGACAAGACAACCCCUUUUUUGACAUUCUGGCUUGUCUCUGCUCCCAGCCAUAUCACCUCAGAUUACUUAGAAUAAGGCCUUCAGUUUUCAGACACUCUCUCUCAUUUUAUUUAUUGGCUUCAAUUCUAAUUAUAUUGUGUUAUAUUGUAUUAUAGUGUGUUAUCUUGCAUUCCGAUAUCUUAUUUAGCAAAAUCCAUAGACUCAUAGAAUCAAAAUUAGUUUGUUUCUCUUCAGAUUGUUGCUGCCCUACCCUUUCCACUUUUCACCUUUUCCUUUUCCCAGGGCAUGGGUCCGUCGGUUACCCUGCCCCACUAGUCAUGGAACCUGGCUGAACUGGCCCAUAAACUGUUGACAUAGGAUCAGUUGAGGGCCCUUCUCGAAAACUUUCUGGACUCAAAGGCCAUCUAAGCACACUAAUUAGCAUUCAGGGGUCAUCUGAGGUUACGACUUGGCCAGUGAGGUUAUCUGAGGUCACCCAUCCAAAAAUGUUGGGACUCAAAGGUCAUCUGAGGACACCAGUUAGCACUCAGGGGUCAUCCGAGGACACAACACAGCCAGUGAGGUCAUUUGAGAUCUCUGCUAAAAAAAAUUUCUGGACUUGCUUAAAGGUCCUUUGAGAUUCCCUAUUAGUAUGUGAGGUCAUUCACUGUCAUUAUUUCAAACCUCUCUGCAGCUCCUGAUUUCCUUGAAUUUGGUGGUACUUCACUAUAGUGGGCAGUUUGAUCAGCUCCCCUCUCUACUUCCAGGAUCCAGUCAGCAGUUCUGAGUCCACUGAGCCCCAAACCCAUACCCCAUGUCAUGCUUCUUGCACUCAGCAUGCAGAAGGAGCAACAGUGACACUUUCCUUGGCCUCUUACUUCUCUUACAGGUGUUCUUUUUUGUUUUUCUUUCUUUUUUUAUUUUUGCCUGUUCAUGUGACCAUCUCACUUUUGCUUUAUGGAUUGAAUUCUCCUUUCUUACACGCUGACUACUUACUUAAAAUGCUUAGACAGUUGUACUGGGGCUCAGGAUAACAGAGAAAACCAACACCACUCUGUACCCACUGGUAUGCAGUAAUAGAAAGUAGACUUACUUCAUGCUGGAGAUAGUGUCAAACACAAGACUGUAAAAUCACAAAUUUAUUUUAUUCCACUGUUAUUUAUUUUAUAAAGAAAAUAAUUAGACCAUCACCAGCUCCACAGCUGCUCCCAUCGACCAGCUUUAUUACAUUCCACCAAGCCAACACUGUUUCAGUGCUGUAUAUUCUCAGCUUCAUUGUGGGAUGAAAGCUAAUGGCCAACAGUUUUUUUAAAAUGCUGAGAGCAGGAAAAGAAGAACAGUGUGAAGUAAGUGAAGGCGAUAAUAUUGCCUUCUACCAUGAUAUAAACGUGUGUGUAAAGGUGUUCAUCAAGAUUUAGUUUAGAAGAGCAUUCAGGGACAAGAGGCUUACCCUUUCUGGAAGGUUGGUGAAGUCUCCAGAUGGGCUUUGUUUGAUGCAGCUCAGGAUACAGUUGGCUUUCUGGGUUGCAAGGGCACAUUGCUGGUUCAUGGCCAGAUGCCAUCCACCAAUACCCCCAGGUCCUUUGGCAAGGCCGAGCUACAUCCUUUCAUUCCCUAACUUGUACUGAUAGUGGGAAUUGCUGUAACCCAAGUGCAAGUCUUUGCUUUAGUCAAUAAAUUAUGGCUGUCUAGACUGCAUAUUCUGCUAUGCAAGUAGGCAUGACAGGUAUAUACACUCACAUACUCAGGUUUCAUUGUUUUAUAUUGACAGGAGAAAUCUUGGCAGUUGUUAGUUGCAAUCUGUGUAGUGCUGCAUACAUGGAUUCUGAAAAAUUCAACUUAAUCAGUUUAACCAAUAUAGGAAUCUAUGCAGAGCCAACAGGAAAUCAAAGAUUUUACAACCUGCUCAUAAUGUCCUGUAUGCUAACUUCCCCAUCUGUAACCAAGCCAAUACAUAAGUGCAGUAGUAGAUUCUGUCAUCACUCAGAGAUGUACUUUACUGCUAGAUCCACUCUUUAGCUUUGAAUUUAUUAAAAAAAAAAAAAAAAAAAAAAAGCAAGCCCUGCUUUAAGGAGAUCUCCUGUCUUCAGCCAGGAUUUAGCUGAUAUUCUGGAGAUGACUCAGAUUCUAGCAAAAAUGCGCAUCAGUGUAGGAAUGCAGAGCAAACACAAAAAGUCCUCUCUCUUCCAGACUGCAGCAAUAAGAAAAAAAGGUCAGUCUGGAAAGAUUAAAGAGCUUUGUCAGUUCCGAAAUAUUCUUCAGGAGCCUAAAGCUCAGGAGACAGAACACACACGCAAGAAAUAUGUAUGUAUAUUUUUAGUCAGCCAAAUAUGCCGAGUCUGGCUUGGGUUUUUAAAGAGAUUACUCCACUGUUGACAGUGAGACAGCUGAGCACUGCAACCAUAAGGCUGAGUGUGAUCCUUCCCACUUCAAUUAGCCUCAGCAUGUUCAUUAGUGGCAGCUGAGACACAGCUGGGCCUACAAAUUGAAAAUCCCAUAAGGAACUACUGCUUAAGGUAGUUUAAUGCAGAACUGAUUAAUUGUAGGUGGUAUCUAACUAAUGAAGUUAUGCAAUGAUUUAUAUCACAGUAAAAAACACAACAAUUUAUGGUCAUAUUGGUCAGAUCACAGUACACCAAGGAGUUCCCUACAGUGAUUCCAUGAUUCUGGAUUUAGUUAUCUAUCGGCAAUCCCUAUUGUAGGGAUAGUUUAGUAUUUAGAUCAUUAUAGUCUAUUUGCCCACUCACAUCACUUUAUGUGAAACCUUAAUGCAUGAGUGCUACAUCUGACACCCCAGUUGGAAUCUAACAGCUUGAAAAAAUGGGCUCUUACUGCUCAUGCAAUAAAUAAAUCCUGCUUUCUACUGGCACCAUUUAAUGCUCACCUCCUUUCUGUCAGGUUCUUUCUUUGAAAUAAAAGCUCUUCCACCCCCUUUUCCUCUUAGGACCAGUAUGUUUCCUACAGUGAAAGAAGCACCAUGCACUGAGACCACACUGGCUCUGCAGGCCCUAUGAAUGGGGGAAUCCAUCAGCAAGUGCCAUACUAAUGAAGGACCUUGGUUGGUGUGGCAGAAAUACAGCCUGAACCAGUGAUUGAGCACCUGGUAGGAAGGCAGGGCCAACCCUGGGGAGCUAAGUCAUAUGCAGUGCACCUGAGUGACAGGAAGGGAUGAAGCCAGGAUCCACCCCUUCCAUCAUUUAAGCAUUGGCAGAGGCAAUGAAGGUAUUUCACUUGAGAUCUCUGCCUACCUGAGGCCCUCCAAAGGACAGAAAGCACUUGCAAUCCCUGAUGUGCACAGAGCCCCAGAAAUACCAGUUUCUGCCACAUUUUAUUGUCCCUGCCUAACAAUCCUUGGCACUAGAGAGGAUUAACAACAGGAUGAUGGUUAUAAUCAUACCAGGCCUGCCAAGCAUUAGCUGAGUGCCAUUAAAGGCCCAAGAAUUUCAGCUGGAACUACAGUUCUAUGGGCUUCAUAAGUAUCAGAGCUACGAACACAAAACUACUGUUAACGAAGAAAAACUAACUUGCAGAGGAACCAAUGUAAAGGGUGACUCGAGUUUCCACAGAAGCCCGAAGGACAGAAGUCAGAAGCUGAAGAAAUCAGACCACCAUGCUGUUCUCACCAUCAGGAACACACUUCACCUGGGCAGUGUUCCCAGCGCCGUGCUUAUCUCCCAGCCCUCUUUUGCAUAGCAAAUGAAGGGUCAUCUGAAUUAGGGGAUGGACACAAAAGCUGACAUAUAGCCUGACACACAACCAGGCAUAUAUUUCUUUGCAGCAGAGAGAAACUCUCCUCCACUCCCCUUCACAUUUCUAUCAGUCUUUGUGCAUUAAAUUCACCAUAGUUCAGGAAGAUACUUGUAGAGGACGCAUCAAACACACUUUGGGUGCUACACUAAUUAUACAUCCAGCUACUUUUUGAGAGUUUAUGGUUUUGUAAACUUUGUCCCAGUUUGAACAGACUGCGUCUGAUGAAACACUGGAAUAAUCCUUCUGCUUCAGAAUACAACUGAAGUAAUACAACUUCUCAUAUUUGAUAUUAUCCUACUCCACAAAUAACCUUAUUUAAAGAACUUCAAAGUGAAGUCUGCUAUCUGAUUUCCUUUGUACUGGAUUCUGAGUCGAAUUAUUUUCAAGACAGGAUCCAUGCGUUCCAGUUGCUGCACAAAAUAUAUCCCCCUCUACAAUGAGUUUAACAAAAGAAAAUCCAAAAGAAAGCAUAUUAUUCUAAAUCCGAAUCACUGAUUUGUUUCCUAGAGAAAGCAGGUGAGUAGGAUCAUUUUAAAGCUGGAGUAAGAAGUAUAAGGAAUGAUUUAGUUGCACUCUGCCCUUUUCCUCACUGAAAACAGAGCAAGCUGCACAAAGGUCAAGCAGGACCAGCUCUCCAUGCAACUGCAUUGAAAUGGUAGAGCCCUGCAGUAGGUUUGCAGAGUCGCCUGGAGUACUGGAAACAAUCACAAUUUAUAAAAUAUGUCUCAGUAACAGAUUCCAAUAAAUGCUGAGUGAAGGCUUUUUUUUUUAUGCUUGGGAUAUGAUGGAGAAGCAGCUCUCCCUGUUUUACGGACAAGAAUUUGGCUCUUGAAACAAGUCAGCUAUUGGCAUGAAAUAAAAUGCAAAUGUUAAUUCACAGAGAAAAAAGACUAGAAAAUGAGGAAGGUAUAAAGGAAGAGUCAUAGCAAAAGACACUGCCAAGCUUAGUUUAAAAUCUCAAUGCACUAGUCAAUCAUUUCAUGUAUUUUCAUACACUAAUAACAGCAUUCAACAUAAGAAAUAAGAGCAAUGAGAAAUGGCAAAGAAAACAAAUUACAGGCAAUUUAAAAUAGGAAUACUAAUAGUUAUAAUUCUGCAAAGGCAGACCAGAUGUCUUCACAUGUAUUAAACUGUUUACUGUAUUGACUAGAAAUCCUUUCAUAAGCCAGCCUGUUCCCCAAGAUUACAAUAAAACCUUGAUAUGUAUUCAGUGGAGUUGUAUACUUCAGCUUCUGAAGGGAGGAGUUUUAGGGAGCUUGAGGCUACUUGAAGUAAAAAAUAUAGCAACUAACAAGAAUAUAUUCCCAUCUGAGCCCAAAACAGCAGGGUAGUCUGUGGGUUCUAUUCACUCUGAAGUCUUGAUUUUGCCUUCUGGUAUCCUACUGCAAUAUAGAUAUGAUGAAGCUUUCAGUUUCUUAUAACAUCAACAUAACUUUUCAUCUCUGCACCCCUCCAAACCCUCUGGUAUUUCUAUGGCUCACAAGCAUUAGGACACAAGGACAGACAAACCUCUUCUCAUUCUUUAUGUUCAGCUUGUCACAGUAGCCAGAAUUUCAUUUUAAUUAUGCAAGGACCAAUAGUGUUUCUGCACUAAGCACAGCUUUACCAGUGCUGUGAACAUAUCAGGUCAAAGUGGCCAUGUAAGAUUUACCAUUCCUCAGACUGGUGCAAUUCUUCAGUUCUGCUGAAUGUUAGGGUGCAUUUCAGUGACAGUGCCCCUCUUUAACCAGUGGAAAUGAAGAAAGUAUUUUAAUUUCACUAGCAUGCUCAAAA
Molecule: long non-coding RNA, 6414 nt
Organism: Tympanuchus pallidicinctus (lesser prairie-chicken)
Lineage: Eukaryota; Metazoa; Chordata; Aves; Galliformes; Phasianidae
Exons: 8
Source: RefSeq, a predicted model, not a curated record